This 658-nucleotide ribosomal RNA is filed under the name uncultured bacterium. Its description in RNAcentral is "bacterial SSU rRNA". It matches the Rfam family "Bacterial small subunit ribosomal RNA", at positions 10 to 656 of the family's 1533-position model. The record is from RNAcentral.
AGUUUGAUCAUGGCUCAGGAUGAACGCUAGCGGCAGGCCUAACACAUGCAAGUCGAGGGGCAGCACAAAGAUAGUUUACUAUUUUGGUGGCGACCGGCGCACGGGUGAGUAACGCGUAUGCAACCUACCUUAUACAGGAGUAUAGCCCGAAGGAAUUCGGAUUAAUCCUCCAUAGUAUUUUCUAAUGGCAUCAUUUGGAAAAUUAAAGCUUCGGCGGUAUAAGAUGGGCAUGCGUCCUAUUAGCUAGAUGGUAAGGUAACGGCUUACCAUGGCAACGAUAGGUAGGGGGCCUGAGAGGGUGAUCCCCCACACUGGUACUGAGACACGGACCAGACUCCUACGGGAGGCAGCAGUGAGGAAUAUUGGGCAAUGGAGGCAACUCUGACCCAGCCAUGCCGCGUGCAGGAAGAAUGCCCUAUGGGUUGUAAACUGCUUUUAUUUAGGAAUAAACCCUUCUACGUGUAGAAGGCUGAAUGUACUAAACGAAUAAGCACCGGCUAACUCCGUGCCAGCAGCCGCGGUAAUACGGAGGGUGCAAGCGUUAUCCGGAAUCAUUGGGUUUAAAGGGUCCGCAGGCGGACGUAUAAGUCAGUGGUGAAAUCCUGCAGCUUAACUGCAAAACUGCCAUUGAUACUGUACGUCUUUGAAUUCGGUCGAA